AGAGUUAAAUAGCACGUGAAAUUGUUGAAAGGGAAACGAUUGAAGUCAGUCGUACUUACGAGUAAUCAACCUUUAGGUGCGAUCUUGACGUGGACAUUUAAGUGUUAAAAUCUUUAUGUACUCAAGUUUGUGCUUUGGGGCGUACUUGCUCGUUUGUAGGUUAACAUCAGUUUUGGUCAUUACAAAAUGACUGGAGGAAUGUAGCUUCGAUUUCGAUUGAAGUGUUAUAGCCUCUGGUAGAUGUAAUGGUCGGGAUUGAGGAUUGCAACGAAUACCCAGUCGGGCUAUCCGUCUGGUCUCUGACCAUCGCUUUGUUGCCGAAAGCUUGCUUACGGUUACCGAGUUGCUAGUCAAUAGGUUGGAACGGAUUAAAUUCGUUAAGGAUGUUGACGUAAUGGCUUUAAACGACC
RNAcentral lists this ribosomal RNA (410 nucleotides) under Kamienskia bistrata. RNAcentral describes it as "partial large subunit ribosomal RNA". The record is from RNAcentral. Lineage: Eukaryota; Fungi; Glomeromycota; Glomeromycetes; Glomerales; Glomeraceae.